Rhizobium sp. CF080 is the source of this 60-nucleotide non-coding RNA. The record is from Rfam. Lineage: Bacteria; Pseudomonadati; Pseudomonadota; Alphaproteobacteria; Hyphomicrobiales; Rhizobiaceae.
CCGCUGGUCCGGGGCACUCUGGCGAUAGCUUCGGCACUAUCGCGAUGUCGGACCGUUCUC